RNAcentral lists this transfer RNA (71 nucleotides) under Agrilus planipennis (emerald ash borer). It matches the Rfam family "tRNA". Rfam says of the family: Transfer RNA (tRNA) molecules are approximately 80 nucleotides in length. Their secondary structure includes four short double-helical elements and three loops (D, anti-codon, and T loops). The record is from Rfam by way of RNAcentral. Lineage: Eukaryota; Metazoa; Arthropoda; Insecta; Coleoptera; Buprestidae.
GCUAUCGUAGCUCGGCAAUAGAGGACUGGUGCGUAAAACCAGGGGCCCGGGUUCGAUUCCCGGCGAGGACG